This 187-nucleotide ribosomal RNA is filed under the name uncultured soil bacterium. RNAcentral describes it as "partial 16S ribosomal RNA". It matches the Rfam family "Bacterial small subunit ribosomal RNA", at positions 27 to 218 of the family's 1533-position model. The record is from RNAcentral.
GAUUGAACGCUGGCGGCAGGCCUAACACAUGCAAGUCGAGCGGUAGAGAGGUGCUUGCAUCUCUUGAGAGCGGCGGACGGGUGAGUAAUGCCUAGGAAUCUGCCUAGUGGUGGGGGAUAACGUUCGGAAACGGACGCUAAUACCGCAUACGUCCUACGGGAGAAAGCGGGGACCGGUCGGUCCGUCC